AAUCGCGGCCUGCCUGGCCACCGCCCGCCCGAGCCCGCGAGCCCGCCGGCCGCUUCCGCUCCCACGCAAGCGCAGCAGCCGGGCAGCGAGCGGAGGGCGCCGGCACCAUGGUUCUGGACAGCGUGGCCCGCAUCGUGAAGGUGCAGCUGCCCGCCUACCUCAAGCAGCUCCCGGUCCCCGAGAGCAUUACGGGCUUCGCCCGCCUCACAGUUUCAGAAUGGCUCCGCUUACUGCCCUUCCUUGGCGUGCUUGCGCUCCUUGGCUACCUUGCAGUCCGUCCCUUCUUCCCGAAGAAGAAACAGCAGAAGGAUAGCUUGAUUAAUCUGAAAAUACAAAAGGAAAAUCCCAAGGUGGUGAACGAAAUAAACAUUGAAGAUCUAUGUCUCACUAAAGCAGCUUAUUGUAGGUGCUGGCGUUCCAAGACGAACAUUCUAAGUUGUUCCUAUGCCCAGAAAUCCACAUCUGGUAGCUGGCUGGUGUUUUAAUAAGCUUUCACAUGAACAUUAGCGUUGCCAUCAUCUGCAAAUUCACAGAAUUCUAUCCUAUGGACCUUACACGGGCACUGAAUAACCAAACAUAUUCACCAGGGGCUGCAUCACCUAUAGGAAAACGCCCAAGGCUGGGUAACUGUGCUCACAGUGUUCCAAAGCCAGUCAGUGCCUGAACCCUCUUCCGUUGUCAAUCUCAGCUCUCCUUCACAGCACAUCCCAAGAACUUCGUUACCUUGUUCUGUUCCUAAACAAAUCACCAGAGUCAAGAACCUUCUCUCCAGAAACAGGUAAACAGUGAACUAUGACUGACUGCCAGUAGGAAAGAUUCCAAAAAACCAAAUGAAAAUUGAAGAUGAAAGGCUCGUAACUUGAGAAGAUGGAACCAAGAACCAUGUAUCUCAGCCCCUGAAGACACCUCCAUGAUCAAAUUAUACAGGCAGUGCUUCAUGAUAAAUUUGCACGAAGUAGUGUGUGAUAGUUGAGAAGGCAGGAUGUUACAUUCACUGAUACUAGUGCCCACUGUGAGUUAAAAGUUUAGUGCUUGGCAGGCUAUAUCAGGUGUCCAGGAUGUCCGUGAGAAGUGGGGGCUUUAUUGCAGGAAACCCCAUUCAGUUGAGACAUUUUCAGACUUACUUACUAAUUUACCACAUAUUUUAAUUUCUGAAGACAUGGCAAGAUCCAAAUCUGGCAGGUGGGAUUUAAAUCUAAACAGCGCUAGAGAACUUGCCUACUUCAAGGACAAUGGAAAGUCCUGAUUCGAGGCUAGGUGCUCAGCCAUUCUUUGUCCCAUGCCUUCCCUGCAUGCAGAUUGGGUUAGGGAGGACACCUGUGGCUGCUUUGUCACCUCAACUGCUCCAUCUGACCCCAUGAUUUAGUUCCCGUCAUGGGCUUUGACUGGAAGCUUGUUUGUUAUAUGCACCAAGUCAACUAGUUUAUCUUUUGCAGAAGUCUAGUUUAGUGAAGGCAUGAAGCAGUCAUUAAAUGCAACACAUACCUUGGGAAGUGCAUAUUAUUAGCAAGUACACAUUCCUGUACUGUUUGGUAAGGACACUGAAAAUAUGUGCAGAAAGGCAAUAAGAGGGUUUUGAGCCAAGGAUGGCAUCACUAACUUUGCAGGGGUUUAAAUGCUCAGAUUCAUUGUUUACUAAAACAAAGUGCAAAAACAUGCUUUAAACAAUCAUGGGGAAAGCAUAUUUGUGACUAUUUUCUUGAAACAUUAGUCAAAUGGAUCAGCCAUGAUAACCAUUCUUUAGCACUAUAGUGUUGUAAUUUCCAAAAACUAGAAAAGGGAGGAAGUUGGUAAAUUGUGUAAUUGCAAAGAAGAACUUUACACUAGGAAGAAAAUAAUCUGUAAACAGUUCAGUAAAAUUUCCGUCGUGGCACCUUCACUGCAUUUCCUGCAUGAACACACUAGGCUAGAGGAACAUCAGUCACGUUCACUGUGACAGAGUUAAGAACAAAGCUUAGAAGUACAGAACUCUGAAGAAAAUGCUCCUGGGAAAUGAGGCAAAGUUAGAUACCUUUGAAGUCGGUAGCAAAGAACUGGGAAAUCUAAAAGAAAAUAGACAAUCUAGAAAAAAACCAUCUGACUUAUACUGACCCCAGCAAGGAAAAAUAAUGUUGUUUGACCAAUUACCAAGCAGAAAAUGGAAUGUGUAUUUUUCAAAUACAUAAUUCAGGGUUCUGGGGCUAUAGCUCAAAGCACUAGCCUAGCUUCACAAGGCACAAGUUCUGUCCCUAAUGCUGAGAAAAAGCCUAAUAAUUAAGGUUGCAAAAAGAGGUUACAUCAGCAUUCCUUGUCUUCUUUAUUUCAAGAGAAGGUCUGCCCCUGAGCUUAUGAUCCUUCUGCCUCAGGCUCAUAAUACUGGUAUUACAGGUGCCACCACAUCUGGCUGUCCUCCAAUUGUAAAGAAACACUCCAUUAUUUAUUCCACACAGCUAGUAUAGAAUUAACAUGAAAACCUGCAAAAGAAACAAGCAAAAACCCACAGAAGUAAACCAAUCUCAUUUAUGAAUAGGAAUGGGAAAAUAAACCAGUAUCGAAAGGAAUAAUAUGUUUUGGUAAAGAGCUUGUAUUUUAAAACAUUUCACUAUCAGCUAAUGUAUUAACAAUCAUGUAAAUGAAUUAAAGAACAGAAUAGCCACAGCCAUAGAUGCUGAGAGGAGCCAACUGCCAUUCCUAGUGAAGAUUUUUAUUUUAUUUUAUUUUUUUUUUGCCAGGGCUGAGGACCAA
RNA transcript from Onychomys torridus (southern grasshopper mouse), 2724 nucleotides. It is a transcript of the gene named CDGSH iron sulfur domain 2, with no coding region annotated. The transcript has 4 exons. NCBI's taxonomy places the organism in Eukaryota, Metazoa, Chordata, Mammalia, Rodentia, Cricetidae. The record is from RefSeq and is a predicted model, not a curated record.